Molecule: small nucleolar RNA, 128 nt
Organism: Balaenoptera musculus (blue whale)
Lineage: Eukaryota; Metazoa; Chordata; Mammalia; Artiodactyla; Balaenopteridae
Source: Ensembl
UAUCUCUCAGCUCCCUUAAUCACAUUCUGAGUGCGGUUGGCGUAUUUUCAGAGAGGGAGAGGAAGGUGCACCUAAUGCACGACAGACUGGCCCACAGUGGCCACUCUGUUCCUAGAAGUGCAACAGCU